This 699-nucleotide ribosomal RNA is filed under the name uncultured bacterium. RNAcentral describes it as "bacterial SSU rRNA". It matches the Rfam family "Bacterial small subunit ribosomal RNA", at positions 47 to 761 of the family's 1533-position model. The record is from RNAcentral.
UCGAACGAAGCAUUUUAAAUGAGACUUUCGGGUGGAUUUUAAAAUGACUGAGUGGCGGACGGGUGAGUAACGCGUGGGCAACCUGCCUUACACAGGGGGACAACAGUUAGAAAUGACUGCUAAUACCGCAUAAGCGCACGGGAACGCAUGUUUCUGUGUGAAAAACUCCGGUGGUGUAAGAUGGGCCCGCGUUGGAUUAGGUAGUUGGUGAGGUAACGGCUCACCAAGCCGACGAUCCAUAGCCGACCUGAGAGGGUGUCCGGCCACAUUGGGACUGAGACACGGCCCAAACUCCUACGGGAGGCAGCAGUGGGGAAUAUUGCACAAUGGGCGCAAGCCUGAUGCAGCGACGCCGCGUGAGCGAAGAAGUAUUUCGGUAUGUAAAGCUCUAUCAGCAGGGAAGAAAAUGACGGUACCUGACUAAGAAGCUCCGGCUAAAUACGUGCCAGCAGCCGCGGUAAUACGUAUGGAGCAAGCGUUAUCCGGAAUUACUGGGUGUAAAGGGAGCGUAGACGGAUGUGCAAGUCUGAUGUGAAAGGCGGGGGCUCAACCCCUGGACUGCAUUGGAAACUGUAAAUCUUGAGUGCCGGAGAGGUAAGCGGAAUUCCUAGUGUAGCGGUGAAAUGCGUAGAUAUUAGGAGGAACACCAGUGGCGAAGGCGGCUUACUGGACGGUAACUGACGUUGAGGCUCGAAAGCG